GCUGGGCGCGGUGGCGCGUGCCUGUAUUCCCAGCAGCUCGGGAGGCUGAGGUGGGAGGCUCGCCUGAGCCCAGGAGUUCAGGGCUGUAGUGCGCUAUGCCGAUCGGGUGUCGGCACUAAAGUUCGGCAUCAAAUGGUGACCUCCCGGGAGCGGGGGACCACCAGGUUGCCUAAAGAGGGGUGAGCCGGCCCAGGUCGGAAACGGAGCAGGUCAAAACUCCCGUGCUGAUCAGUAGUGGGAUCGCACCUGCGAAUAGCCACUGCACUCCAGCCUGGGCAACAUAGCGAGACCCAGCAUCGU
RNAcentral lists this signal recognition particle RNA (300 nucleotides) under Cebus imitator (Panamanian white-faced capuchin). Its description in RNAcentral is "Metazoan signal recognition particle RNA (ENSCCAG00000006963.1)". It matches the Rfam family "Metazoan signal recognition particle RNA". Rfam says of the family: The signal recognition particle (SRP) is a universally conserved ribonucleoprotein. It is involved in the co-translational targeting of proteins to membranes. Lineage: Eukaryota; Metazoa; Chordata; Mammalia; Primates; Cebidae. The record is from Rfam by way of RNAcentral.